UGGGGAAUUUUGGACAAUGGGCGCAAGCCUGAUCCAGCCAUGCCGCGUGAGUGAAGAAGGCCUUCGGGUUGUAAAGCUCUUUCAGUAGGAACGAAACGAUAGGCUCUAACAUAGCCUGUUACUGACGGUACCUACAGAAGAAGCACCGGCUAACUACGUGCCAGCAGCCGCGGUAAUACGUAGGGUGCGAGCGUUAAUCGGAAUUACUGGGCGUAAAGCGUGCGCAGGCGGUUUCUUAAGCCAGAUGUGAAAGCCCCGGGCUUAACCUGGGAAUUGCGUUUGGAACUGGGAGACUAGAGUGUGGCAGAGGGAGGUAGAAUUCCACGUGUAGCAGUGAAAUGCGUAGAGAUGUGGAGGAAUACCGAUGGCGAAGGCAGCCUCCUGGGCCAACACUGACGCUCAUGCACGAAAGCGUGGGGAGCAAACAG
Molecule: ribosomal RNA, 428 nt
Filed under: uncultured bacterium
Lineage: Bacteria
Description: bacterial SSU rRNA
Rfam family: Bacterial small subunit ribosomal RNA
Source: RNAcentral